RNAcentral lists this ribosomal RNA (1062 nucleotides) under uncultured organism. Its description in RNAcentral is "bacterial SSU rRNA". It matches the Rfam family "Bacterial small subunit ribosomal RNA", at positions 107 to 1172 of the family's 1533-position model. The record is from RNAcentral.
UGAGUAACGCGUAUGCAACCUACCUUCGGCACGGGGACAGCCCGGGGAAACCCGGAUUAAUACCCGGUAUAGUCUGUUAUACACCUGUAUAAAAGACGAGAGCUACGGCGGCCAAAGAUGGGCAUGCGUGCCAUUAGUUAGUUGGUAGGGUAACGGCCUACCAAGGCAUCGAUGGCUACGGGGUCUAAAAGGAUGAGCCCGCACACUGGUACUGAGACACGGACCAGACUCCUACGGGAGGCAGCAGUGAGGAAUAUUGGUCAAUGGGUGGAAGCCUGAACCAGCCAUGCCGCGUGCAGGAAGACGGCCUUAUGGGUUGUAAACUGCUUUUCUACGGGACGAACGGCUCUGACGUGUCAGAGAUUGACGGUACCGUAGGAAUAAGCAUCGGCUAACUCCGUGCCAGCAGCCGCGGUAAUACGGAGGAUGCGAGCGUUAUCCGGAUUUAUUAGGUUUAAAGGGUGCGUAGGCUGGGCAAUAAGUCAGUGGUGAAAGUCCGCGGCUCAACCGUGGGAUUGCCAUUGAAACUGUUGUUCUUGAGUACAGUCGAGGUAGGCGGAAUGUGUAAUGUAGCGGUGAAAUGCAUAGAUAUUACCCAGAACACCGAUUGCGUAGGCAGCUUACCAGCCUGGAACUGACGCUGAUGCACGAAAGCGCGGGGAGCGAACAGGAUUAGAUACCCUGGUAGUCCACGCCGUAAACGAUGAUCACUCGCUGUUGGCAAUAUAGAGUCAGCGGCUGAGCGAAAGCAUUAAGUGAUCCACCUGGGGAGUACGUCGGCAACGAUGAAACUCAAAGGAAUUGACGGGGGCCCGCACAAGCGGUGGAACAUGUGGUUUAAUUCGAUGAUACGCGAGGAACCUUACCUGGGCUUAAAUGUAGCCGGACGAUUCCGGAAACGGGAUUUCCUUAACGGCUGGUUACAAGGUGCUGCAUGGCUGUCGUCAGCUCGUGCCGUGAGGUGUCGGGUUAAGUCCCAUAAUGAGCGCAACCAUUAUUGUUAGUUGCCAGCGGGUAGAGCCGGGGACUCUAAGGAGACUGCCACCGUAAGGUGUGAGGAAG